CACGUAGGCGGGCUAUCAAGCACCUUGUGAAAUCCCCCGGCUCAACCGGGGAACCGCUGGGUGAACGGAUAGCCUUGAGGCAGGUAGGGGCGUGGGGAACUCUUGGUGGAGCGGUGGAAUGCGUAGAUAUCAAGAGGAACGCCGGAGACGAAGGUGCCGCGCUGGGCCUGUCCUGACGCUGAGGUGCGAAAGCCAGGGGAGCAAACGGGAUUAGAUACCCCGGUAGUCCUGGCCCUAAACGAUGUCCACUAGGUCGAUGGUUCUCUGACGAAUUAUUGGCCGAAACAAAAGCGUUAAGUGGACCGCCUGGGGAGUACGGUCGCAAGGCUAA
Molecule: ribosomal RNA, 331 nt
Filed under: uncultured bacterium
Lineage: Bacteria
Description: bacterial SSU rRNA
Rfam family: Bacterial small subunit ribosomal RNA
Source: RNAcentral